Molecule: small RNA, 122 nt
Filed under: Marmota monax (woodchuck)
Lineage: Eukaryota; Metazoa; Chordata; Mammalia; Rodentia; Sciuridae
Source: RNAcentral
GCUGGGCGUGGUGGUGCACGCCUGUAAUCCCAGUGGCUUGAGAGGCUGAGACAGAAUUGCAAGCUCAAAGCCAGCUUCAGCAACUGUGAGGCACUAAGCAACUCAGUGAGACCCUGUCUCUA